UGUUUGGCACGAGAGAAUUUGAGUCUCUAAGAGGGAUUUUUUCCCAGAAGAUACACC
Molecule: transfer RNA, 57 nt
Filed under: Facelina auriculata
Lineage: Eukaryota; Metazoa; Mollusca; Gastropoda; Nudibranchia; Facelinidae
Description: tRNA-Gln
Source: RNAcentral